This 207-nucleotide ribosomal RNA is filed under the name uncultured delta proteobacterium. RNAcentral's name for it is "partial 16S ribosomal RNA". It matches the Rfam family "Bacterial small subunit ribosomal RNA", at positions 568 to 774 of the family's 1533-position model. The record is from RNAcentral. Lineage: Bacteria; Deltaproteobacteria.
CGUGUAGGCGGUUUUAUAAGUCUGAUGUGAAAGCCCUGGGCUCAACCCGGGAAGUGCAUUGGAUACUGUAAGACUUGAAUACGGGAGAGGGUAGUGGAAUUCCUAGUGUAGGAGUGAAAUCCGUAGAUAUUAGGAGGAACACCGGUGGCGAAGGCGGCUACCUGGACCGAUAUUGACGCUGAGACGCGAAAGCGUGGGUAGCAAACA